CCUACGGGUGGCAGCAGUAGGGAAUAUUGCUCAAUGGGGGAAACCCUGAAGCAGCAACGCCGCGUGGAGGAUGAAGGUUUUCGGAUUGUAAACUCCUUUUGUUAGAGAAGAUAAUGACGGUAUCUGACGAAUAAGCACCGGCUAACUCCGUGCCAGCAGCCGCGGUAAUACGGAGGGGGCAGGCGUUACUCGGAAUCCCGGGGCGGAAAGGGCGCGGAGGCGGGAAAGCAAGUCAGAUGUGAAAUCCGAUGGCGUAAACAUAGAACUGCAUUUGAAACUGUUAUUCUAGAGUAUGGGAGAGGUAGGUGGAAUUCUUGGUGUAGGGGUAAAAUGCGUAGAGAUCAAGAGGAACACGCAUUGCGAAGGCGGCCUGCUAGAACAUAACUGACGCUGAUGCGCGAAAGCGUGGGGAGCAAACAGGAUUAGAUACCCUUGUAGUC
This 440-nucleotide ribosomal RNA is filed under the name uncultured bacterium. RNAcentral describes it as "partial 16S ribosomal RNA". It matches the Rfam family "Bacterial small subunit ribosomal RNA", at positions 338 to 795 of the family's 1533-position model. The record is from RNAcentral.